This 465-nucleotide ribosomal RNA is filed under the name uncultured bacterium. RNAcentral's name for it is "partial 16S ribosomal RNA". It matches the Rfam family "Bacterial small subunit ribosomal RNA", at positions 338 to 795 of the family's 1533-position model. The record is from RNAcentral.
CCUACGGGUGACAGCAGUGGGGAAUAUUGCGCAAUGGGCGAAAGCCUGACGCAGCGACGCCGCGUGAGGGAUGAAGGUCUUCGGAUCGUAAACCUCUGUCAGCAGGGAAGAACGGUCACUGUGCUAAUCAGCAGUGAAUUGACGGUACCUGCAAAGGAAGCACCGGCUAACUACGUGCCAGCAGCCGCGGCAAUACGUAGGGGGCAAGCGUUAUCCGGAUUUACUGGGUGUAAAGGGAGCGUAGACGGCGAUGCAAGUCUGAAGUGAAAGGCGGGGGCCCAACCCCCGGAGUGGAGUGGAAACUGGAUGUCUGGAGUGCAGGAGAGGUAAGCGGAAUUCGUGGUGUAGCGGUGAAAUGCGUAGAUAUCACGAAGAACACCGGUGGCGAAGGCGGCUUACUGGACUGUAACUGACGUUGAGGCUCGAAAGCGUGGGGAGCAAACAGGAUUAGAUACCCUAGUAGUC